GACGAACGCUGGCGGCGUGCUUAACACAUGCAAGUCGAACGGAAAGGCCCUGCUCUUGUGGGGUGCUCGAGUGGCGAACGGGUGAGUAACACGUGAGUAACCUGCCCUUGACUUUGGGAUAACUUCAGGAAACUGGGGCUAAUAUCGGAUAGGAGCUCCUGCUGCAUGGUGGGGGUUGGAAAGUUUCGGCGGUUGGGGAUGGACUCGCGGGUUAUCAGCUUCUUGGUGGGGUAGUGGCUUACGAAGGCUUUGACGGGUAGCCGGCCUGAGAGGGUGACCGGCCACAUUGGGACUGAGAUACGGCCCAGACUCCUACGGGAGGCAGCAGUGGGGAAUAUUGCACAGUGGGCGGAAGCCUGAUACAACAACGCCGCGUGCGGGAUGACGGCCUUCGGGUUGUAAACAACUUUCGCCUGUGACAAAGCGUGAGUGACGGUAAUGAGUAAAGAAGCACCGGCUAACUACGUG
RNAcentral lists this ribosomal RNA (468 nucleotides) under uncultured bacterium. RNAcentral describes it as "partial 16S ribosomal RNA". It matches the Rfam family "Bacterial small subunit ribosomal RNA", at positions 28 to 507 of the family's 1533-position model. The record is from RNAcentral.